AACGCACAUUGCGCCCCUUGGUAUUCCGAGGGGCAUGCCUGUUCGAGCGUCAUUUCACCAAUCAAGCCCCGCUUGGUAUUAGGCGUCAGGCCGGAUCCACCCCCGUCAAAAAGGGGGGAGCCGGCCCGCCCGAAAUGCAUCGGCGAGGCACCGACCCCCGGCGUGUUAGAAUUUCGAAACGUCAGGAGCACCGGUGUUAACCUCUGCCGUCAAACCUUUUUUUUUCUUUCUCAAGGAAACUAUUUCAAGGUUGACCUCGGAUCAGGUAGGAAUACCCGCUGAACUUAA
RNAcentral lists this unclassified non-coding RNA (288 nucleotides) under uncultured fungus. RNAcentral describes it as "partial contains 5.8S ribosomal RNA, internal transcribed spacer 2, and large subunit ribosomal RNA". The stretch from base 1 to 52 matches the Rfam family "5.8S ribosomal RNA", at positions 103 to 154 of the family's 154-position model. The record is from RNAcentral. Lineage: Eukaryota; Fungi.